Molecule: unclassified non-coding RNA, 257 nt
Filed under: uncultured Mesodinium sp.
Lineage: Eukaryota; Ciliophora; Litostomatea; Cyclotrichida; Mesodiniidae
Description: internal transcribe spacer 1
Rfam family: 5.8S ribosomal RNA (bases 73-225)
About the family: 5.8S ribosomal RNA (5.8S rRNA) is a component of the large subunit of the eukaryotic ribosome. It is transcribed by RNA polymerase I as part of the 45S precursor that also contains 18S and 28S rRNA.
Source: RNAcentral
GAACCUGCGGGAGGAUCAUUCCAUUAGCGCGCGAUUCAUUGGCUCUCGUCCUGCGUAAGCAGCGUAAUAAAGGUUUUUUAGCUUUGGAGGUGUCGGGUGUUGGUCCGAGGAAGGACGCAGUUACAAGCGAUAUUCAGCCUGAAUCGCAAAACUGCGGAUGGUCGGGUGUCUGAAUGCUCAAAGCCGGAGCUACUGGUCACGCUCUAACACACCCAUUCGGUGUCUCACUUCCGCGUGAUGUGAGAAUUCCAAAAUAU